UUCCCCUGCUUCUUCUCUGACUUCUUCACCGCAUCAGGGACACAUCGAUUCGCUGUCACUGCUCAAGGGCCUGGCCGGAUCAUGGUGCUACUAGCCAGAUCCAUGCGGCGCCCCAGCGGUACUUGAUGCGGUUGAGUGCUCCGCCGUGUUAUAGCGCCUUCACGCCACUUCCUAAGAGUCGUUCGCGCCGUCGACUAUCACGAAGGAGAAGACAACCUUGAGGAGGACUUGGCCGAUGUCGUCUUCAUCCAGCUUGCUACGAUGUUUCCUAGUUUGCGAAUACUUGACAUCCCCGAGUGGCGCCGCUUCCCGACGUUCCCGACCUUGCGGCAAUCGCCUCCUCACACGAAGGGUGCAGGCAUGCACCUACUCCCCCAGAAAUUCUAGUCGCAUAUAUUUAUAUCCUACUCGAUGAUCUUGGCCAUGAUGUGCUUAUCCAUAGUGAAUGAGUUUCAGGUCUGAUAUGCUUAGCUGAAGAAAUUGUAAAAGAAAUACUCUCAAGCCAUCCUUUCAGUGCCAUCCAUUAUUUUUGUUGUCAUGUUUACGUGCCAACAAGUUGAUAUCGUGACAGUACUUGGAAAUGAAAUACUCUCAAGCCAUCCUUUGUGCUUUGUUGUAAUGUAUACGUGUUUCUCUUAGCUUUGUGUACUUAGAAAAAUAUUAUAACUAUUUUGCUGUGAAGAGGCAUGCAAAUUUUGCUAUGUACUGGCCAUCAAUGUAUUUCUUGAGAUAUCUAUUUUAAAUGAAAGUUGGAUUGCGACUCCA
This is a long non-coding RNA of Hordeum vulgare subsp. vulgare (domesticated barley), 765 nucleotides long. RefSeq lists it as uncharacterized. The transcript has 3 exons. The record is from RefSeq and is a predicted model, not a curated record. NCBI's taxonomy places the organism in Eukaryota, Viridiplantae, Streptophyta, Magnoliopsida, Poales, Poaceae.